CCUACGGGUGGCAGCAGUGGGGAAUAUUGGUCAAUGGGCGCGAGCCUGAACCAGCCAAGGAGCGUGAGAGAUGAAUGGUCUACGGAUUGUAAACUUCUUUUGUAAGAGAAUAAAAUGAGGGUAGCGUACCAAUAUGUAUGUACUUUAUGAAUAAGGAUCGGCUAAGUAAGUGCCAGCAGCCGAGGUAAUACGGAGGAUACUAGCGUUAAGCGGAGUUAUUGGGCGUAAGGGGGGCGUAGGUGGGUUGUUAAGGCAGAUGUGAAAGCCUGCGGCUUAACCGUAAAACUGCAAUUGAUACUGGUAUCCUUGAGUACAGGAGAGGUAGGCGGAAUUCGUGGUGUAGGGGUGAAAUGCUUAGAUAUCACGAAGAAUUCUGAUUGCGAAGGCAGCCUACUAGAACGUAACUGACGCUGAUGCGCGAAAGUGUGGGUAUCAAACAGGAUUAGAUACCCUGGUAGUC
This 460-nucleotide ribosomal RNA is filed under the name uncultured bacterium. RNAcentral describes it as "partial 16S ribosomal RNA". It matches the Rfam family "Bacterial small subunit ribosomal RNA", at positions 338 to 795 of the family's 1533-position model. The record is from RNAcentral.